AACGUAGGAGACGAACGUUAUCCGGAGUUACUGGGCGUAAAGGGCGUGUAGGCGGUUUGUUAAGUCUGGCGUGAAAGCUCUCGGCUAAACCGGGAGAGGUCGUUGGAUACUGGCGAACUCGAGGAUGGUAGAGGCGUGUGGAAUUCCGGGUGUAGUGGUGAAAUGCGUAGAGAUCCGGAAGAACACCGGUGGCGAAGGCGGUCUGCUGGGCAGUUGCUGACACUGAGGCGCGACAGCGUGGGGAGCAAACAGG
This 253-nucleotide ribosomal RNA is filed under the name uncultured bacterium. RNAcentral describes it as "partial 16S ribosomal RNA". It matches the Rfam family "Bacterial small subunit ribosomal RNA", at positions 524 to 776 of the family's 1533-position model. The record is from RNAcentral.